UAGUAACUGCGAGUGAACAGGGAAAAGCUCAAAUUUAAAAUCUGGCAGUCUUUUUUGACUGUCCGAGUUGUAAUCUAGAGAAGUGUUAUCCGCGCUGGACCGUGUACAAGUCUCCUGGAAUGGAGCAUCAUAGAGGGUGAGAAUCCCGUCUUUGACACGGACUGCCAGGGCUUUGUGAUGCGCUCUCAAAGAGUCGAGUUGUUUGGGAAUGCAGCUCAAAAUGGGUGGUAAAUUCCAUCUAAAGCUAAAUAUUGGCGAGAGACCGAUAGUGAACAAGUACCGUGAGGGAAAGAUGAAAAGGACUUUGGAAAGAGAGUUAAACAGUACGUGAAAUCGCUGAAAGGGAAACGCUUGAAGUCAGUCGCGUUGCCUAGGGAUCAUCCCUUGCUUUUGCUUGGUGUACUUUCUGGGUUUGACGGGCCAGCAUCAAUUUUGACUAUUGGAAAAAGGUCAAGGGAAUGUGGCAUCUUAGGAUGUGUUAUAGCCCUUGGUUGCAUACAAUGGUUGAGAUUGAGGAACUCAGCACGCGCCCCGCCAGGCGUAGGGUCGGAACUCCGACUACUAUACGUGCUUAGGAUGCUGGCAUAAUGGCUUUAAUCGACCCGUCUUGAAACACGGACCAAGGAGUCUAACAUACCUGCGAGUGUUUGGGUGGAAAACUCAAAUGCGUAAUGAAAGUGAAAGUUAAGAUCCCUCAUUUGUGGGGAGCAUUGACACCUGGACCAGACCUUUUGUGACGGUUCCACGGUAGAGCAUGUAUGUUGGGACCCGAAAGAUGGUGAACUAUGCCUGAAUAGGGUGAAGCCAGAGGAAACUCUGGUGGAGGCUCGUAGCGAUUCUGACGUGCAAAUCGAUCGUCAAAUUUGGGUAUAGGGGCGAAA
RNAcentral lists this ribosomal RNA (881 nucleotides) under unidentified. RNAcentral describes it as "Aureonarius ruficollybianus partial large subunit ribosomal RNA". It matches the Rfam family "Eukaryotic large subunit ribosomal RNA", at positions 81 to 928 of the family's 3401-position model. The record is from RNAcentral.